Molecule: regulatory RNA element, 58 nt
Rfam family: terC RNA
Source: Rfam
GAACCAGGCCGGGCCCCUCUGGCGGUUCGUUCGCGAACCGCGAUGUCGGACUGGACAU